Molecule: ribosomal RNA, 253 nt
Filed under: uncultured bacterium
Lineage: Bacteria
Description: partial 16S ribosomal RNA
Rfam family: Bacterial small subunit ribosomal RNA
Source: RNAcentral
UACGUAGGGGGCAAGCGUUAUCCGGAUUCACUGGGUGUAAAGGGAGCGUAGACGGCCAUGCGAGCCUGGAGUGAAAGCCCGGGGCCCAACCCCGGGACUGCUCUGGGAACUGUGCGGCUGGAGUGCGGGAGGGGCAGGCGGAAUUCCUGGUGUAGCGGUGAAAUGCGUAGAUAUCAGGAGGAACACCGGCGGCGAAGGCGGCCUGCUGGACCGCGACUGACGUUGAGGCUCGAAAGCGUGGGGAGCAAACAGG